GAUGAAGAACGCAGCGAAAUGCGAUAAGUAAUGUGAAUUGCAGAAUUCAGUGAAUCAUCGAAUCUUUGAACGCACAUUGCGCCCAUUAGUAUUCUAGUGGGCAUGCCUGUUCGAGCGUCAUUUCAACCCUUAAGCCUAGCUUAGUGUUGGGAGACUGCCUAAUACGCAGCUCCUCAAAACCAGUGGCGGAGUCUGUUCGUGCUCUGAGCGUAGUAAUUCUUUAUCUCGCUUCUGUAAGCCGAUCAGACAACAGCCAUAAACCGCACCCUUCGGGGGCACUUUUUUAAUGGUUGACCUCGGAUCAGGUAGGAAUACCCGCUGAACUUAAGCAUAUCAAUAAGCGGAGGA
This 348-nucleotide unclassified non-coding RNA is filed under the name soil metagenome. RNAcentral describes it as "partial contains 5.8S ribosomal RNA, internal transcribed spacer 2, and large subunit ribosomal RNA". The stretch from base 1 to 120 matches the Rfam family "5.8S ribosomal RNA", at positions 35 to 154 of the family's 154-position model. The record is from RNAcentral.